Molecule: long non-coding RNA, 10633 nt
Organism: Cavia porcellus (domestic guinea pig)
Lineage: Eukaryota; Metazoa; Chordata; Mammalia; Rodentia; Caviidae
Exons: 6
Source: RefSeq, a predicted model, not a curated record
GACAAAGGAGGAAGUGGCAUCCCGGAAGCUGAGGGGUCGCGCCUGCGCAAUUGCGAUUGGGCAGCAGCCCCGGGGGUCGACUCUUCCGCCCUGACUUAGUGGCUGACGCCUCCGGGCCGCCGUAGGCGAAGAACUAGAUAGAGCAUUGGAGCCUGAAGUACACGUGAAGAUGCCCGUGGAGAACAUCCCUUAUCUGGGUGACUAGUGUUUGGUGUAAAGAUUUGUGUUAAGACUCGGAAUGGUAAACUCUAGUGACGGGGACAAUACAGUCUUCUGACAUGUGGACGCUGUUGAUGCCUCAUUGUGGAAGAACAUUCUUCUGGAAAUCUGAUUCCAGCCCAUGAGGUCUUGGUAUAAUUAAGUGAAGCAGGCCCCCAGUGUGAGCAGAUGAGCCUCUUGGGGGACCAUGAAAUAUCUCUCCUGGAGAGCAGCGUCCCCUUGAGGAGAUGGAUACUAUGACUGAUUCCAGACCAGGCUUCUGUCGUCUACCAGAAACCACGCCCCACCGUCAAAUCCCAGUCCUAAAGGAGGACAGCAGUGUCUCCUGCUGACCACCUCCCCAUAUGUAAAGGAUCAAUAGAGUUUGCUACAAUAUGGAUUUUGGACCCAACCGGGAAGAUCAGUAUAUUUACGAUAUUAUAAUUCCUCCCAGGAAGUAUCAACAAGGACAGAAGAAAAAUCUUUCGAACAUGUCCUAAGUAUGCUACUGGAGGACCAAUAAGUAUUCCCAAGUGGCAGCAUUUCCUAUUGAACUGUGCCGAAAUGUCUGUUUUUAGAAAAGUGCCAAGUUAAUUAGCACCCUAUAGGACCUUGUUACAGCUCAGAACGACUACAUCUGCUGAUAAUUUAAUCAUUAUAAAUGUGACACAAGGAAAUCAAGCUUCACACGCUGUUACAUAAUGCAAAUUGACAGUGAAGACGGCUCAAUAGUGUGAUGUCAUUAAUAAGGUUGUUUCUUAAACUCAUAACAAAUAUCAAGUAAUUUUUGCAGUAGGCUAAGAAAAUAGACACAACCCGUGUGAUGGUUUUGAGAUGCAGAACACGCUGGGCACAUCUGCCCUUCUUUCAGAAGUUGUGGGCUGCUGGCGGAGAAUGUCGUACCGGCAUGGAUGGUUGUUAGAGGUCAAGAAGGUUCUAGAAGGACAUGCUGCCUGGGAGGGCAGCCACUGGACUGCGGACCCACCUUCAAUCCAGAAUGGUUUCAUCUGAAGCCUUUGACUGUAUCUGCAAAGAACCUUUUUGUAAAUAAGAUUCCAUUCCUAAGUGCUGGGGGUUAGGAAUGGCUAUGUCUUUUGGGAGACACAAAUCAUUUGCCAUUCAGUGGAUAAUGUGAUCUGCUUUUACUGUUGAAACCACUGCUUGCUUUCUUGGUGCAAAAGGCUGGACAGAGCAGGUGUAAGCAUGGAAGCAAGAGGGCUGGCUAAGAGCUUGCUGCAAGCUUUCGGAUGUGUAUGACAGAGUGCCUCAGUGUGGUAGCCUUACAGCAGGUGAGGGCUGCGGGAGGCGGACGUUGCUGCAUACUUGGGAUCUGUUUGUGGGCUGGAAGGAAGGAAUCAAGGUCAGUCUUCUGUAAAGUUGGGUGGUUUUUCUACCCACCUCUGAGAACGGGAGCAGAGAAGGGCUCAGAAGACCACGGAGAUGAGAGUCUAGUGAAGAGUCUGGCCCCCACCAUGGAAGAUACUCCAUAGCCUCUGGACAUAUUUGGGGAGAGUAGAUGCAAACGAAGAUAAGUCCCCCAAAGUUCUUUUGUGAGUGUGUGUUUGCUCUGGGCAAGGGUACAGGUCUCUCUUUUUCAAGACUUUUUUUUUAAACAAUACUCAUUUGAAUAGGGCUUAGAGUUCCUUGGCAGGGAAACAUUGGGCUCUUGGAAAUAUUACUAUUAUUUCUGGAGCCAAAUUUAGCAAAGACGGCUCUGCCUUUAAUUACUGGUUGAUGCUGAGUUGUACAGGCAAAUGAUUACAUGCACAAUUAGUUGUUCCCACAAGUAGCCAAUUAUGGGAACGAUUAUUUAAGAAAAUUGUGGCUCCUGCUAAAGGGACUUUGCAUUGCUGCCUCAAAAUACAUUUCUGUAUAAAAAGUCCUUUUAUUGCAUGUGUUAUUAUUUUUUCCUAUCUCCUGGGCUGCUGCAGAAAUGGCCCUUGUGGUCUCAUUUGUGGAGAGAGAGGACUGUUUUGUGUGGAAGCCCAGGUCUUUGGGGUACUGUGAGACUCAGCAAAGGGGGCUUGGAGCCGGGAGCCCUCCCAGGCCUAGUCUUGCUCCAAAGACCAUGACUACCCCACGCAUGGAUGUUAGAGAGAAGUCAGGAGUCAUAAUGGUGGAUCAGGGAAGUGCUGCAGGCACGGUGAGCCCUAGAGCAAAUCGAUGAGUCCCUGUUGGCUAACCCUUGCGUGUGUCCGUAAACAUGGCUUUCAUGGACUUUCUGCAGCGACCUGUCCUUCUUGGGCCACUUCUCCCCUGACCCUUUUUCCCCUAGGCAGUCAAGUUGUCUUAAAAGCAUAAGCUCCCUUACCCCAUAAGUGUCAUUAACUUUGGGAAACUGAGGCCCAGCGAGGUGAAGGACUUAUCCAGUGGUCCCAAGUCCAGCUGACAUGUGACCCCAGGUUGCCAAACUCUAAAGAUCCAGGUUUCCCCACAAGGCCAUGCUGCUUACUGAGAGCCCCGGCCGCGAUCAUGACAACCAUCAAACACUGUGACCCUUACAAUGGAGGGGCAGCCUGGUGGCUUCUUUUGUUUUUGGUCCGGACGAGGAAUCAAGACUAGGUGGACCUGGAAGGGACUGCAGUGGAUCUCGUUUAGACCAUUUAUUUAUUUACUUAUUUACUUACUUAUUGCUAUCUGAAUAGAAUUUGGAGAAUGUAUCUAGCUAAGGUCACUCUCUCCCUUUAAAUGUUUCUCAUGACCUGCUGAUCCAUCCAUGACCAAUCCUGACCUCACUUGUGCAGAGAAACUACACACUCAAGUGCCAGUGUUGGGCUGGUCCAUAGAAAUUCUGUUUCUGCCCCAUAAGUGGAGUGUGUUUGCUGUGCUGCCAUUUAUCAGUGGUCAGUUGUAUCAUCUUCACAGGGGUGGCUACGUUCUACCUUAAUGUGGUUUGACCUUAAACAACUGGACCUAUGCUUCAGCACCCUGUAAGGGUGAUGUAUUUUUUUUAUCUAAAAGAGAGAUGUAUUUUUUUGAUCCUUGAUUUUGGAUUAGUUCAUGGGAUUUGCUUUGGCUAAAAUGUUGCUAAUAUUUGUGACAUAAACAUAAAUAUGAAACAAAUGAUUAGACAUUUGGGCAAGCCCUUGUGGUCCAGCGAUCCAUCAGGAAAGGAACAUACCAGGGGUAGUUGUCGGACACUCAGCUUCAGCAUGAGAAUGAAACCGUACAGUCGACUCAUCUCCUAAAAAUAUAUAGGUCCAACUCAGACCAACACUAUGGUGUGAAGCCUAGAGCCUGAACGUUAGCUUAAUCCAAAUAAAUUGCAGUUAACUUCCAUAUCCAUGAAUACAAAAAAAUUUGCUGUCUUAAGCUACUGACCAGCAUUGGGCUGGUUUGUUACACAGCAUUAUUUGGCUGACUUAUACAUUCCAUACUGCAUUUUUAUGGAUAUUGAAGCAGAUGGAAAUAAAAGAGAUAGGAAAAUGAGGAUUAACAGCAGAGAUGGGGUAGGUGGUGUUUAAAAUUAUAUCAACAUAUUUGCAACUUAGUGUUCAAAUGGCUGUGGAGCUAUAAUUUACUUAUGCCAAGGCAUUCUAUAGAUUUUUCUCCCUAAAUGAAUCUAAGCCAAUAUUUUUGAAAAAUGUAAGCAAGCAAGCAAACAAAAAAAAGUAGACAAGCAAACUUGGUACAUCAUGGAAUAACCAGCGAGUGGAUUGGACCCAAAUACGCCAGGCUGUGUGAGGUUGUGGAUAGGCUGGGUUCCCCAUAGUCACCCCAUUCCUUGACCACAUUCUGAACAUCAAGAAAUCAGGAAUAGAUGGGUAACCAGAACUUGGAAAUGCAUUUCCUCUUAGUCUGAUUUUCAUAGUCUGGUUGCAAAUAUCUCCUUGUACAAGAGAAGAUUUAUAUUGCUUGGAGAGAGUAAAAAAAAAAACCCACAAGUUACUUAUAAAAGUCUUACCUUUUUUUUGGCCCUUCCACAUGAUGGAAAUAUGCUAGCAACAUUUUACGUUUCGCAAGUGGUCUUUUUAUAAGCUCAUAUCUGCCAAGAUCUAGCAGAGGUUCCAUGUGGCUUUUGAAGACAUGCCUGGAGCCCUUUGCUGUGGAACCUGGAAGUGACGCGCGUGCCUGGUAACCACAGGCUGCCCUUGCGGGCUGCUGAGGUCCUGUGGCUCAUCACGGAAUGAUGCAGAUCAUUCCAGAACGAUGUAAACUUGUGAGGAUGCAAAUCCAGUUUGUUCUCCUGGAGACUGUGGCCCAGGUCCUCUCCAACACCACCAAACCCUUCUGCUUUGGAGGUAUUGGAAUUAAGAGGUGUGGUUUCUCUCUUGCUUAUGGUUGUUACUUCUCGGGGCCUUGUGUUGAGCAGUGCUGUGAGUAAUAGAAGUGUAUUUCUGUAAAGUUCUGGGGUUUUAGCAUGAAUUAAGUUCCAGAGAAUGUUAGGACAAAGCACAGCAAAUGAUCAACUUUUUUUUUCUGUUUUCAGGAAACAAAAUACUCAGAUUUUGAAUACGAAUGCAUUUUAUGUUAGCCACAAACCCUUGGCCUCAGAGAUCAGAUCCUCACUUUGUCAUUUGCUACCUGAAUAGCCUGGGCUAACCCACUCAACUCCCACAGAAUUGUGUGUACCAAUCUGUGUACUAAUGGGGAUGAUAAUAUCAACUUCAAAAGUAGAUUAGAUGUAGGGUAAGGAGAAUACUUUUUAAUGUUUUCUUUCUUUAUAUCUACUUGUAUUACACCUAAAAUAAGAAAAGAAGGAGAAACAAUGUGUGGAAAGUCUCUGUAAACAAGAAAAUUUUUAAAUUAAUUGGGAAGAAUCCUAAGACAUUUUUAAGCCUAAUUUCCUCAUCUGAACAUGGAUUGGUCAUAUUUCUUUUCUUUUUUAAAAAAAUUUUAUUUAAAAGGAAAAAGAAAAAACAAAACAAAACAAAGCAGUGUAAGGGUACAAGUAAUACAGAACGAUUGGUCGUAUUUCUAGCUCAUAAAAAGGAGAUAAGAUUGAGAUAGUUCAUGAUACCCAGUAUGGUAAACAGAAUAGUGGUCACCUAGAAUGUCUCUAACCUCAGUCCUCAGAAGUCGUGAAUAACUGGUCUUAUAACAAAGGGGAAUGAAGGUUUCAGAUGAAAUUAAGGUUGCUAAUCAGCUGACCCAGAGACGGGGAGUUUAUCCUGGUUAUCCAAGUGGGUCUACUGUGAUAACAAGAGUAUGUAAGAGUGCAUGAAAGAAUGGGAAUACAGAACCAGAUACUGUAGAUUUCAACACGAGAGGUCUCGGGUCACUGUUGGCUUUAAAGAUGGUGGAAGGGACCAUGAGCCACAGAACAGGGAACAUCUAGACACUUGGAAAGGCAAGGCCACAACUCUCAGAGCAUCUCUGCCAGUAUUUGUUUCUAAGCCAGUGAGACCCCUUUUGGGUUUCUAACCUGCAGAACUUUAAUAUCGUGUAUAGUAUUGUUUUACACUCCCAAAUGUUUAGUAAUUGUUAAAAUGACCAUGAGAAACUAAUAGAUCUUGUCAGGACCCAAGGAGAAUUUCUUUAUUCAAAGUAGGUCUUUUCAUAUUAAAAGAGUCUAAUCUCACCUAAUAUCACACAACAUUUCUGUUAGCUGGAAUGCAUUCCUAUGCAGUUGAUACCAUUUCUGAGAACUUCAUCUUGUUUACUCAAUAAAAAUAAUUGAGUACAAUCAUUUUUUCCUCCAAGCUCUAGAUAUUUCUUGUUUCCUGGUACUUCAUACCGUAAAGGCAAAGGCUGAUGCCAACCUUAAUUUCCAUUCCUUCCUAAAUAUCCUCUCCCUCCCUGCUGGGAAUUUUAUAGGACUGUUUCAUAACGUUUGUUGUUGAAACGUUUGCCAAAAUCAGUCUGGCUGAAGGCUUCAUGGAUAUUACCUGGAGCGGAGAGAGGAUUUUUUGAGAAGCAGUCCAUCGUCCUGUGCCACCAGCUGGGUAAACUCUAAUUAUGACUGAGACCACACAAUUUGUAAUCAUUGAUCUUGCUUCUUUCGUAGGAAACCAUUAUUUUGGGAUAGAUUGUUGUGUGUUUUCCUGGGCAUUGUCCCCCAGCUCUAGUUUAGAUUUCCUGGUUGGAAACGGGGGGACAGACAUGAAAAUCUGUGCUUUCAGGGAGACCAUUGCUGUCUGUGUGGUAGAGAUCACACACCUAGGAGGUGGGGUCACCCAGGUUUCCCUGCACCGAUGUCCUGAUGUGUUGGUUUCUGCACACCGUGGCCUCUGCAUGGCUGUAAAACAGAAGUAGUAGAAUUUAUUUUUGUUUUCUUUCUGGUAUAGAUUUUGCUUUUUUGAACCAUAGGAGUCCAUAGUGAGGGAAGAGUUUUCUACCCACAUCCAAAAGAGAAACUUUGGACAAUCCCCAAAAGCAUGGAAUAUCUAUUAGCUAUAUAUUUUUAUUCUUUUGGCCUUGGGGAGAGUAGAACUUUAUCAGAGAUGCUAGUGCUUGGUUAACUUUCUUUUGCAGGAUUUACAUUUUUCCUCUUUUCUGCAUAAGUACUUUGGUGGGGAUUUAGGAAAAGCUAGAUCAAAAUUUUUGCAUCAGGAUGUUUUUCUUAGGAACAUUUAUUACAUUUCUCCCCCAAGUCAGGUAUUACGCCAAAUGCAUGAUUACAUUUGGAACUGGAGAUAUUAUUUACAUUUUAAAACUGAAGACAAAAAUUAAGUGAAUUGAGAGGGGUUGCCCAGGGUCACAGAAUAAAACAUGGCACCAUUAGAGGUUCCAGAGAUUUUUGGCUCUGAGAUUUUUCCCUUGCUCCAGGAGGUGAUUUUUUUUUUUCAUGAAAUGAAUUCAUUUAGUCUUUUCUUAGGGACAUCAAUAAACAUGAGCUUUGGGGGUAGAGUACAAAAUGACAUUUGCAGUUGCUUUGUGGAGACGUGAACCUGAUCCGUACAUGCUGACACCUCCCACUAAUGCAUCUGCGAGCUCACAGCAACAGCUAUUUCCUGUGCCAUCCACAGAGCAAAACCCAACUGAAAUUCCACUUCUAGACAGACACCUAGCAGCUGAACACCCCUAUGCAUGCUAAAAGACAUACCCAGGAGCAUUCAAAGAAGCACUGUUUUUAAUAACCAAACCCAUGGCAAUAGCAACCGAAAUGUCACCAACGAUGAAAUGGAUGAGUACUAUGCACGAUAAUAAUUAAAAUUCUUAUAUGCUUUUCAGAAGUAUCAACCUUUAUCAAAUAUCCAGUUUUUCUUGGCGUGACUCCUGGCUUGCCUGGUCCAGCACUCUCCCGUCUUUCUCUCGGGCCACUGUUCCAUUCUUUGGCUGCCUUCUUCCCUUCCACCUACAUUUUUUUUAAUGUUAAAACCUUUCAUCUCAAUUGCCUAAAAAUGUUGCAAAGGUAUUACAAAGAAUUCCCACACACCUUCAUCCAUCUCCAAGACUGUUCCCCCCCUACAUCACCUUACUGUAAUUUUUUGAAAUCUGGAAACCAACAUGGAUACUAUGCUUGCAACUUCUGGGUAGACCUUCAGAUUUCUCUAAUUGCUUGGCUCAUCCUUUCUUGGGUCCAGUGUCCAGUACGAGGUCCCAAUCCAACAUUGUAGUCAGUCAUCAUGUGUCCUCAGUCUCCUCCAGUUGGGACAAUUCCUGUCUUCUGUAGUCUUUUAUGACUGACAGAUUUGAAGAUAUCAGACUGGAUAGUUGGGGUCCUCUGGUUUGGAUUUCUCUGACAUUUACUAACAAUCACGUUGAGGUGCUGUACUUUUGGCAAGACAGUCACAGAAGCAUCCUGUUGUACCAGGAGACACAUGACGUGGAUGUAGGUUAAUUCUGAUUAUUUGAUAAAGGUGGCAGAGGUCAGGUUCCUCCUUUAAACUUAACGGUUUCUACUUUUUAAUUAAUAGUUGUCUCAAGGGAGAGACUCUGUGAGGCCAUGCAGAUAUCCAGUCGGCAUCACACUUUCCCUUACUAAUUUCCACAUGUUGUGGACCCACCUGGCCAUUCAUCCUGAGCUCCUUAGGGCUUGGUCCCAGCACUUCCUGCCACUCUCCAGCCCUCCCCAGGGAGGCUGCGGUACCUCACAGCUCCAAGCACCAUCUGAGGACCUGACUUCCGCAAUGGCCUCUCCAUCCCCUUUCCUCUUUUAAGGACUCUGAGUGGCGCCACCCCAGGCCCCUCACCUGGCCACUGCACCCUCAUGGUGAUCCCUGCCCCCAAGUUCCUCUCAAUUUGCUCCGAUUUGUCAUGACCUGCACCCAGCUGCACGUGUUAGAAAUCUGAGAUCUACUACUGAUAACUCUUAUCCCUUAUAUUGGUUGAAUCACCAAUAUCUGUUGAUUUUCUGUUUUUUAUUAGUACCUCCCACCAAUCCAGAACUGGUUGACUGAAUCUGUCACUUUAAUCUUCCUAAUUCUUUUCAUGUCUACAGCUGAUUGCCCAGUGCAAACCACAGUCAUUUCUUCUCUGGACAACUGCCCUGCCCUUAAAAUGGUCCCUUAACAUAAUCCCUCUCCUGUGCUUUUCUACAUAGUGGUCAGUACAGCACCACUCUUGACUUUGCUAUUAGAAGGGAAAGUCCAGAAGUCAUGGUGAUUGUACUGGGAAUUACCCAUGGUGAUUGUACAUGGGCAAGGUAAGUCAUGGUGAUUGUACAUGGGCAAGGUAAGACUCCAGGGGACUGAGUAGGGGAGGAAUGAAUGAAUGAAUGAAUGAAUCAAUGAAUGAAUGGCAGAGGAAGGAAGAGAACAAUUUCUCCUUCCUGGUGUUAAUGAACCCAGUGGCACCUGGCCAGGGCUCGACUCUGGGAUGCAAGUGAGGUACUUGCUUUAGGUGUGGCAUUAAGCAGACACCAAACCACUGAAGAUAGUAUUUUAAUGAAAUAAAUUUUAAAAAACAAAGUUAAUGCAAAAAAAAAAUCCACGAUGAACAAAACAUAACAAUUUAAACAAAGGCAGACCAUCUAAAACAUCACUGUCUUCCUCUAAUCUAGCUGUCCCAUUGUGAAUGAAGAAUCUAGCUCCUUAAUUUGCAAUAGCUUAGAACAGGAUUCUCUAGGGGAGGAGGAUUGACCUCCCCUCUCCCAAAUGUUAGUAAAGUCUGAAGGCAUUUUGGGGUGUUGCAACUGAGGGGGGCAGGGAUGAGCUACGAUAUCUAAUGGGUGGGGCCAGGGGUGCUGCUGAGGUUUGGAAGGCACAGGGCAGCGCCCAGCUCAGGGAACCAUAACUACAGAAAACACACCAAGAGCAGCUGGGCAGAGCAGUGGACAACCUCAGCAGCAGGGCUGGGCGUUUAGGGGUUUUGUUGAAACAGACUUCUCAGUCUUUGGCCUCCACUGCUCCAGCACUGAGCGGGCUAGGCCAAAGGAAGACCAAUGUCUGCAUGACAGGAGAGCAGCUCCAGGAGGGAAAGCACUCGAGUCCACCCCCAGGGUAACCCCCAGUGGGAACAAGUCAACCUGUGUUGUAGUCAGGGGUUGUACACAGAGAACAAUUAGGAUCAAAACAUGGAGUUUAUAAUAUUAUUUUUAUAAUGGUCACCAGGAGUUAACAUGAAAAAAUGCAGGAAAUCUAUCCACAACACCAAAGACAUAGAUUAUUUAGUCAAGAGCCUAAACCCCAUAGCAAUGUCCCACAUGAGUCCAGAUAAAAACCCAGAGCUCAGGACAAUGCCUCCCAUGAGUCCAACUGGAGGUUCAGAGCCCACAAGAAGGACUCAGGCCACUCUCUUUUACAGAUCCAAGCCAGGAAGGCCCAAGGGUCAGUGGUGGAAGCCAGAAAGUCUAUGCCAGCAGGACAAAGGAGCUGUGCUGGUGGGAUGAGGGUUCUACACUGGAGCUGAGAAGUCACACUCACAACAAAGACCAGGGCUGUCCUGAAGGCACUACAGCCAUUGUCAGCGACACAGAGGCCCCGAGCUCCUCCAACGACACGCACAGUCAGGUACAUGCCAGGAAGCAGCGUGACGAGUUCAUCCUGGAGACCAAGCAGCACAUGUCUUCCCCUCCAGAGCCAGGAAGCAAUGCUCAUUGUGAGGACCAAAGCUUCUCCAGGAGAACCAACAGCUCAGACAGCAACUCGUAGGAGAGCCCACAACGCCUCCUUAACGCCUCAACCCUCCACACCUCCCUCCUUCUCCACCUCUUUAUCCUGGCAGCUUUCCUCAGGUGGAGCAUCUUCGGUCAAUGCCAUGCUGAUGUAAUCCAGCUGGCGUUAAGUUGACCACCAGUUCUUAAUCCAUAACAACCCGUUGACUUGUUUUUCGGAAGACAGCGCUCACGGCUCAGGGAGAGUGGGCGGCAGGGCCCGAGGUGACUCUCCAGACUUUACAUCGCCUUUGCUUGUUCAUUUCAGUUCCGGCCCCUCUUCCUGGCUCUUCUCACCACUCCUCUUCUGCUAGGCCAUUUUCCUCUUAGGAGCGCUAACAGUUUCACCCGGUCGUCGUGUGACCUUAUCCCUACCUAUGCCUUGUAAAUCGUUGUCAUGUGGGCUGUCAGGGCUGAAUUUCCUUGCUGCUAGUAAACCUCUCUUCCAUGUUAUGCUGA